RNAcentral lists this ribosomal RNA (352 nucleotides) under uncultured bacterium. RNAcentral's name for it is "bacterial SSU rRNA". It matches the Rfam family "Bacterial small subunit ribosomal RNA", at positions 32 to 361 of the family's 1533-position model. The record is from RNAcentral.
AAUCAACGCUGGCGGCGUGCCUCAGACAUGCAAGUCGAACGCGAAAUUUCCCUUCGGGGAGAAAGUAGAGUGGCGCACGGGUGAGUAACACGUAGGUAAUUUGCCUUUGGGUGGGGAAUAACUCAGGGAAACUUGAGCUAAUACCGCAUAAUGCAGCGGCUCGACAUCGAGACAGUUGUUAAAGCGGGGGAUUCGCAAGAACCUCGCGCCUGAAGAGAAGCCUGCGGCAGAUUAGCUAGUUGGUAGGGUAAUGGCCUACCAAGGCAACGAUCUGUAACCGGCCUGAGAGGGCGGUCGGUCACACUGACACUGACAUACGGGUCAGACUCCUACGGGAGGCAGCAGUCGGGAA